UGCUGUUGGAAGAGCUCGCGGAUAAUUCGCAUGGCUUCGAUGUUGUGUGUCUCCAAGAGCUCUUUCCCCUUGGGUCACCAUGGAGAGAUGAAUUUGUUGCGGCGACGAAGCGUUUGGGAUUCUUUC
This 126-nucleotide non-coding RNA is filed under the name Compsopogon caeruleus. The record is from RNAcentral. Lineage: Eukaryota; Rhodophyta; Compsopogonophyceae; Compsopogonales; Compsopogonaceae.